UCAAAGGAGACUGCCAGUGAUAAACUGGAGGAAGGUGGGGGAUGACGUCAAGUCAUCAUGGCCCUUACGACCAGGGCUACACACGUGCUACAAUGGCGCAUACAAAGAGAAGCGAACCUCGCGAGAGCAAGCGGACCUCAUAAAGUGCGUCGUAGUCCGGAUUGGAGUCUGCGACUCGACUCCAUGAAGUCGGAAUCGCUAGUAAUCGUGGAUCAGAAUGCCACGGUGAAUACGUUCCCGGGCCUU
Molecule: ribosomal RNA, 246 nt
Filed under: uncultured Enterobacteriaceae bacterium
Lineage: Bacteria; Pseudomonadati; Pseudomonadota; Gammaproteobacteria; Enterobacterales; Enterobacteriaceae
Description: partial 16S ribosomal RNA
Rfam family: Bacterial small subunit ribosomal RNA
Source: RNAcentral